This 354-nucleotide ribosomal RNA is filed under the name uncultured bacterium. Its description in RNAcentral is "bacterial SSU rRNA". It matches the Rfam family "Bacterial small subunit ribosomal RNA", at positions 8 to 350 of the family's 1533-position model. The record is from RNAcentral.
AGAGUUUGAUCAUGGCUCAGGAUGAACGCUAGCUACAGGCUUAACACAUGCAAGUCGAGGGGAAACGAUAUUGGAAGCUUGCUUUCCGAUAGGCGUCGACCGGCGCACGGGUGAGUAACGCGUAUCCAACCUGCCCACCACUUGGGGAUAACCUUGCGAAAGUAAGACUAAUACCCAAUGACGUCUCUAGAAGACAUCUGAAAGAGAUUAAAGAUUUAUACGGUGAUGGAUGGGGAUGCGUCUGAUUAGCUUGUUGGCGGGGUAACGGCCCACAAGGCUACGAUCAGUAGGGGUUCUGAGAGGAAGGUCCCCCACAUUGGAACUGAGACACGGUCCAAACUCCUACGGGAGGCA